RNAcentral lists this ribosomal RNA (253 nucleotides) under uncultured bacterium. Its description in RNAcentral is "partial 16S ribosomal RNA". It matches the Rfam family "Bacterial small subunit ribosomal RNA", at positions 524 to 776 of the family's 1533-position model. The record is from RNAcentral.
CACGUAGGGGGCAAGCGUUGUUCGGAAUUACUGGGCGUAAAGGGCAUGUAGGCGGCUUUGUAAGCCUGGCGUGAAAGUCCACAGCUUAACUGUGGGAUUGCGUUGGGAACUGUGAGGCUUGAGUCACGGAGAGGGAGCUAGAAUUCCUGGUGUAGGGGUGAAAUCUGUAGAGAUCAGGAAGAAUACCAAUGGCGAAGGCAAGCUCCUGGCCGAUGACUGACGCUGAGGUGCGAAAGUGUGGGGAUCAAACAGG